Molecule: ribosomal RNA, 497 nt
Filed under: uncultured bacterium
Lineage: Bacteria
Description: partial 16S ribosomal RNA
Rfam family: Bacterial small subunit ribosomal RNA
Source: RNAcentral
GAUGAACGCUGGCGGCGUGCCUAAUACAUGCAAGUCGAGCGAACAGACGAGGAGCUUGCUCCUCUGACGUUAGCGGCGGACGGGUGAGUAACACGUGGAUAACCUACCUAUAAGACUGGGAUAACUUCGGGAAACCGGAGCUAAUACCGGAUAAUAUAUUGAACCGCAUGGUUCAAUAGUGAAAGACGGUUUUGCUGUCACUUAUAGAUGGAUCCGCGCCGCAUUAGCUAGUUGGUAAGGUAACGGCUUACCAAGGCAACGAUGCGUAGCCGACCUGAGAGGGUGAUCGGCCACACGGGAACUGAGACACGGUCCAGACUCCUACGGGAGGCAGCAGUAGGGAAUCGGACGCAAUGGGCGAAAGCCUGACGGAGCAACGCCGCGUGAGUGAUGAAGGCCUUCGGAUCGUAAAACUCUGUUAUGAGGGAAGAACAAAUGUGUAAGUAACUAUGCACGUCUUGACGGUACCGAAUCAGAAAGCCACGGCUAACUACGUG